GGUUAAGCGACUAAGCGUACACGGUGGAUGCCCUGGCAGUCAGAGGCGAUGAAGGGCGUGCUAAUCUGCGAUAAGCGCCGGUAAGGUGAUAUGAACCGUUAUAACCGGCGAUACCCGAAUGGGGAAACCCAGUGUGAUUCGUCACACUAUCAUUAACUGAAUCCAUAGGUUAAUGAGGCGAACCGGGGGAACUGAAACAUCUAAGUACCCCGAGGAAAAGAAAUCAACCGAGAUUCCCCCAGUAGCGGCGAGCGAACGGGGAGGAGCCCAGAGCCUGAAUCAGCAUGUGUGUUAGUGGAAGCGUCUGGAAAGGCGCGCGAUACAGGGUGACAGCCCCGUACACAAAAGCGCAUGUGCUGUGAGCUCGAUGAGUAGGGCGGGACACGUGGUAUCCUGUCUGAAUAUGGGGGGACCAUCCUCCAAGGCUAAAUACUCCUGACUGACCGAUAGUGAACCAGUACCGUGAGGGAAAGGCGAAAAGAACCCCGGCGAGGGGAGUGAAAAAGAACCUGAAACCGUGUACGUACAAGCAGUGGGAGCACAGGUUUACCUGUGUGACUGCGUACCUUUUGUAUAAUGGGUCAGCGACUUAUAUUCUGUAGCAAGGUUAACCGAAUAGGGGAGCCGGAGGGAAACCGAGUCUUAAUUGGGCGUUAAGUUGCAGGGUAUAGACCCGAAACCCGGUGAUCUAGCCAUGGGCAGGUUGAAGGUUGGGUAACACUAACUGGAGGACCGAACCGACUAAUGUUGAAAAAUUAGCGGAUGACCUGUGGCUGGGGGUGAAAGGCCAAUCAAACCGGGAGAUAGCUGGUUCUCCCCGAAAGCUAUUUAGGUAGCGCCUCGUGAAUUCAUCUCCGGGGGUAGAGCACUGUUUCGGCUAGGGGGCCAUCCCGGCUUACCAACCCGAUGCAAACUGCGAAUACCGGAGAAUGUUAUCACGGGAGACACACGGCGGGUGCUAACGUCCGUCGUGAAGAGGGAAACAACCCAGACCGCCAGCUAAGGUCCCAAAGUCAUGGUUAAGUGGGAAACGAUGUGGGAAGGCCCAGACAGCCAGGAUGUUGGCUUAGAAGCAGCCAUCAUUUAAAGAAAGCGUAAUAGCUCACUGGUCGAGUCGGCCUGCGCGGAAGAUGUAACGGGGCUAAACCAUGCACCGAAGCUGCGGCAGCGACGCUUAUGCGUUGUUGGGUAGGGGAGCGUUCUGUAAGCCUGUGAAGGUGGCCUGUGAGGGUUGCUGGAGGUAUCAGAAGUGCGAAUGCUGACAUAAGUAACGAUAAAGCGGGUGAAAAGCCCGCUCGCCGGAAGACCAA
This 1310-nucleotide ribosomal RNA is filed under the name Salmonella enterica subsp. enterica serovar Dublin. RNAcentral's name for it is "partial 23S ribosomal RNA". It matches the Rfam family "Bacterial large subunit ribosomal RNA", at positions 1 to 1348 of the family's 2925-position model. Lineage: Bacteria; Pseudomonadati; Pseudomonadota; Gammaproteobacteria; Enterobacterales; Enterobacteriaceae. The record is from RNAcentral.